Molecule: long non-coding RNA, 198 nt
Organism: Megalops cyprinoides (Indo-Pacific tarpon)
Lineage: Eukaryota; Metazoa; Chordata; Actinopteri; Elopiformes; Megalopidae
Exons: 3
Source: RefSeq, a predicted model, not a curated record
AGUGAACUCCCAUAGGCGUGGUCGAAACGGUAUCGCGCUAUUGCAGUUACCUGAAAACAAGAAGAUUAAAGGACGCUGCUGGCGGCGUUCACUUUAAUCUUCCACAACAAAUUAGCGUACCCGAGUCAGAGGCGGACUGCCAGCCACAGGGCCCAGCAUCUUAUUCACACACAAGCGCCAGUGUUCUGUACCAGCACC